CAGGUCGGUAGGUUCUCAAGACGGAAAGACCUCAGGUCGGAAGGUCUUCAGGUCGGUAGGUCCUCAAGACGGAAAGUCCUCAGGACGGAAGGGCCUCAGGUCGGUAGGUCCUCAAGACGGAAAGACCUCAGGUCGGAAGGUCUUCAGGUCGGUAGGUCCUCAAGACGGAAAGUCCUCAGGACGGAAGGGCCUCAGGUCGGUAGGUCCUCAAGACGGAAAGACCUCAGGUCGGAAGGUCUUCAGGUCGGGAGGUCCUCAAGACGGAAAGUCAUCAGGACGGAAGGACCUCAGGUCGGUAGGUCCUCAAGAUGGAAAGACCUCAGGUCGGAAGGUCU
Long non-coding RNA from Andrographis paniculata, 335 nucleotides. RefSeq lists it as uncharacterized. The transcript has 3 exons. Lineage: Eukaryota; Viridiplantae; Streptophyta; Magnoliopsida; Lamiales; Acanthaceae. The record is from RefSeq and is a predicted model, not a curated record.